Molecule: non-coding RNA, 45 nt
Organism: Schistosoma curassoni
Lineage: Eukaryota; Metazoa; Platyhelminthes; Trematoda; Strigeidida; Schistosomatidae
Source: Rfam
AUCCAGAUGACGAGUUCUGAAUAGAACGAAACGAACAUCCUGGAU